Molecule: long non-coding RNA, 335 nt
Filed under: Pelobates cultripes (western spadefoot toad)
Lineage: Eukaryota; Metazoa; Chordata; Amphibia; Anura; Pelobatidae
Source: RNAcentral
UGUGUGUGUGUGAGUGCUGGAUGGUGUGUGUGUGUGUGUGCUGGAUUAUGUGUGUGUGCUGGAUGAUGUGUGUGUGAGUGCUGGAUGAUGUGUGUGUGAGUGCUGGAUGAUGUGUGUGUGAGUGCUGGAUGAUGUGCGUGUGAGUGCUGGAUGAUGUGCGUGUGAGUGCUGGAUGAUGUGCGUGUGAGUGCUGGCUGGUGUGUGUGUGAGUGCUGGAUGAUGUGGGUGUGUGAGUGCUGGAUGAUGUGUGUGUGAGUGCUGGAUGAUGUGUGUGUGUGUGCUGGAUGAUGUGUGUGCGAGUGCUGGAUGAUGUGUGUGUGAGUGCUGGAUGAUGU